AUCCAGCUGACGAGUCCCAAAUAGGACGAAGCGUUCAUACUGGAU
Non-coding RNA from Schistosoma margrebowiei, 45 nucleotides. The record is from Rfam. Lineage: Eukaryota; Metazoa; Platyhelminthes; Trematoda; Strigeidida; Schistosomatidae.